UUCCUUGAACCGCAUGGUUCAAGGAUGAAAGACGGUUUCGGCUGUCACUUACAGAUGGACCCGCGGCGCAUUAGCUAGUUGGUGGGGUAAUGGCUCACCAAGGCGACGAUGCGUAGCCGACCUGAGAGGGUGAUCGGCCACACUGGGACUGAGACACGGCCCAGACUCCUACGGGAGGCAGCAGUAGGGAAUCUUCCGCAAUGGACGAAAGUCUGACGGAGCAACGCCGCGUGAGUGAUGAAGGUUUUCGGAUCGUAAAGCUCUGUUGUUAGGGAAGAACAAGUGCGAGAGUAACUGCUCGCACCUUGACGGUACCUAACCAGAAAGCCACGGCUAACUACGUGCCAGCAGCCGCGGUAAUACGUAGGUGGCAAGCGUUGUCCGGAAUUAUUGGGCGUAAAGGGCUCGCAGGCGGUUUCUUAAGUCUGAUGUGAAAGCCCCCGGCUCAACCGGGGAGGGUCAUUGGAAACUGGGAAACUUGAGUGCAGAAGAGGAGAGUGGAAUUCCACGUGUAGCGGUGAAAUGCGUAGAGAUGUGGAGGAACACCAGUGGCGAAGCGACUCUCUGGUCUGUAACUGACGCU
Molecule: ribosomal RNA, 583 nt
Filed under: Bacillus pumilus
Lineage: Bacteria; Bacillati; Bacillota; Bacilli; Caryophanales; Bacillaceae
Description: bacterial SSU rRNA
Rfam family: Bacterial small subunit ribosomal RNA
Source: RNAcentral